RNAcentral lists this ribosomal RNA (254 nucleotides) under uncultured bacterium. RNAcentral describes it as "partial 16S ribosomal RNA". It matches the Rfam family "Bacterial small subunit ribosomal RNA", at positions 524 to 776 of the family's 1533-position model. The record is from RNAcentral.
UACGGGGGGAGCAAGCGUUGUUCGGAUUUACUGGGCGUAAAGGGCGCGUAGGCGGCCACCGCAGGUCGACUGUGAAAUCUCCGGGCUUAACCCGGAAAGGUCAGCCGAUACUGCGGGGCUAGAGUGCAGAAGGGGCAAUCGGAAUUCUUGGUGUAGCGGUGAAAUGCGUAGAUAUCAAGAGGAACACCUGAGGUGAAGGCGGGUUGCUGGGCUGACACUGACGCUGAUGCGCGAAAGCCAGGGGAGCAAACGGG